GAAUAGUAGUAAUUACCAACAGCAACAAACAGAUCUCCUCAAGGUAAGUCUGUUGGCUGUGUUUUAAUGAAGACCAUCGCUGGACUUCAAGAUCUUCCUCCGUUCAGCUCAAGGUGAGGCGCUGGUUCUGUUUUUCCUUGGUUGGUUCCGGCUGGAAUGUUCGGAUUCCAGUCGGACGGUUUGUGCUUCCCGCCGUGGAAGGUUCUGAGUGCGGUCACUUCAUUUAGUCCGAAUGGUUAGCAUAGAACGUUGUAGUCUUGACAACCAUAAGAAACCAACUGGCAGUUAGUUGGACGGGAGUCCCCUGAGGGAAUCUGGCAGAACGUUCUGGAUUGUAUUUGAGUAACCUCGAGCCGUCGCCAACGGAUUUUUUUUUUUCAGUCGGUUUCCAUUGGGAAUUGUUACCCCUAUUUUGAACAACUUAAGUUUGAUAUUAAAUACUUACUGACACGUACGUCGUACAAUAUGUUGAUAAUUUCCGAUCGUUGCGCCGUACUUUUACCCACGAUGACGUGACGGGUCUCUCACUGCGUACAAAACGGCGUUCUACUUGCGGGCCCAUUUGACAUCACGGAAGGCUGAAAAUCAUUUCAAGGUGGAAGAUAAUUUGACGUUUCUUCAACGGAACCCAGCACCUGAAUAUGGCUGAGUAUAUUUGAUUUAAUAUCGUUACUGCUUAGUGUUCUUUGUUACUUCAGCUUUUGUACGUUCUAAAUAUCUGCUGUCAUUAAUUGCCACAGAAGUUAAACCCUACCCAAUGGAAUGACGUUAAACAACGACUUUGGUGCAGAGUUACCAACUGGAUAAUAUCGAAGCUAAAAUAAUGGCCGUCAUUCCCACAUGUUACAGUAGAAGAUACUCUAGAACAGUACAAGGUUAAAAAGGUAUCCUGUAGUUUGUCCCAAGGUGUUUGCCUCCUCACCCAGAGCCAGACCUCCACCUCCUCACCCAGAGCCAGACCUCCACCUCCUCACCCAGAGCCAGACCUCCACCUCCUCACCCAGAGCCAGACCUCCACCUCCUCACCCAGAGCCAGACCUCCACCUCCUAUCAGAAGUCUUCCAGAACACCUUAAAGGCGAGGCUGAGAGGCUGGGGACCGGAGGCUUGUGGUGCCAGGGUGGACCGGAGACUGAGGCUGGAGACCAGGGGCCUGCAGCACCGGAUCAGAGGGUAACCGUCACCAAGCUCAUCUGAAACACUAAAAUCCACGGUAGUUUAGGUCUGGUUUUGAUCAUCUUAUGACCUUAAAUCUGUGCCAAGCUGUGAUUUGAGUUAAUUUAUACGGGGGUUAUGUAAGAGUCAUAUGAGCCAUUAAUGUUACUAGUGCUGCUACGACCGUAGUGGAUGAAUUGCUGAACGCGACAAUCUGCAGACGUUGUCUAAUUUAAGUGUUUAAAUUUGUCUUACAUUUUACAAGUGAACCUCAGAUGCAGGAGGUGGGGUGUGUUGCGUCCCCAGGUGAUUUACUGCUGAGACCAACUGUUUGUAACCAUACCAGGAAUACAUGGCUGAUUGAGGAGCCGUGCUGAAGGAGCUGAUGGAGGAGCCGUGCUGAAGGAGCUGAUGGAGGAGUCGUGCUGAAGGCCCUGCCUUGUGGAGGAGCUGGUGGAGGCCCUGCCUGGUGAAGGACGUCUGUCGUGGGACCAGGACUCUGUCUGAGGAGAGCUGAGACGCUGGAGGACGACUUUGAAUCGACCAACAAGGAUUCCUCACCGUGUUUCUGGAGCGGAGGCGAGCUGGUAGGGGAGCCGUGAAUCUGGAGGAUGACCAUCACUCUACCAACAAGGAUUACUUUAGGGCCAGACUCGUGCUGUUUGUUCCAGACCAGGACUCUGGCUGAGGAGAGCUGAUGGAGGAGCCAAGACUCUGGAGGACGACAUCACUCCACCAACCAGGAUCCUCAGACAAAUUACGUUUGUAACCAGACCAGGAAUCUGGAGGACUGAUGGAGAAGCCAUACAUCUGGAAGGCAAAUCCUGAGGACCACCAGGACUCUACCAUCAAGGAUUCCUCAUAAAUGUGCAUUAUCUGGACAUAGUGGACUAGACACACCUGAGCUGAACCUCACCUGAUCCUGUUUGGUCGGGGGUAGACACACCUGAGCUGAACCCGCCCUGAUCCUGACAUCCUGUUGGUCCCGUCUCCUCAGUUCAUCAGAGCCUCGUCCUCCAGAAGACCUGCUGAGCUCAGCAGUCCGAGGCUGAUGGAUCAAUGACUUCCAGUGGGAGUGAUCUUCUUGACCCCACAUGUAACCGUGUGCUUCCACACGCCUUUCCCUCACGUCUGUCACUAACCUCACUACUUCACUACUCUCUACUGCUUCCUCUUUUCUUCCUUCUCUGUGGUUCAAACCGUUACACGGAAGGCGUGUCUUCCUGCCCUCAGAGGGUUUAGCGUUAGGGUUGAGAGUCAGGGUUUAGAGUCAGGGACAGAGCUGGUCAGGGAGGACUGCUUUUACACAAACCUCUUCACUUGCUUUCGGAAUGGUGGUGACAUUUUGAAAAGAUUAAUUUGGGAAAAUGUUUUCCUCUGCUUUCCUUUACAAAAUUGUAUUAAACUUCUGUCAAGUGUUUUUGUUUAUAUAUUAAAAUCCCACAUUGACUUCUA
Molecule: long non-coding RNA, 2609 nt
Organism: Gadus macrocephalus (Pacific cod)
Lineage: Eukaryota; Metazoa; Chordata; Actinopteri; Gadiformes; Gadidae
Exons: 7
Source: RefSeq, a predicted model, not a curated record